This 31-nucleotide non-coding RNA is filed under the name Rattus norvegicus (Norway rat). The record is from RNAcentral. Lineage: Eukaryota; Metazoa; Chordata; Mammalia; Rodentia; Muridae.
UGCUGUUCAUAAUACAAAGAGCAUCUGUAGA